RNAcentral lists this ribosomal RNA (492 nucleotides) under uncultured bacterium. RNAcentral describes it as "partial 16S ribosomal RNA". It matches the Rfam family "Bacterial small subunit ribosomal RNA", at positions 29 to 507 of the family's 1533-position model. The record is from RNAcentral.
AGUGAACGCUGGCGGUAGGCCUAACACAUGCAAGUCGAACGGCAGCACAGUAAGAGCUUGCUCUUACGGGUGGCGAGUGGCGGACGGGUGAGGAAUACAUCGGAAUCUACUUUUUCGUGGGGGAUAACGUAGGGACACUUACGCUAAUACCGCAUACGACCUACGGGUGAAAGCAGGGGAUCUUCGGACCUUGCGCGAUUGAAUGAGCCGAUGUCGGAUUAGCUAGUUGGCGGGGUAAAGGCCCACCAAGGCGACGAUCCGUAGCUGGUCUGAGAGGAUGAUCAGCUACACUGGAACUGAGACACGGUCCAGACUCCUACGGGAGGCAGCAGUGGGGAAUAUUGGACAAUGGGCGAAAGCCUGAUCCAGCCAUACCGCGUGGGUGAAGAAGGCCUUCGGGUUGUAAAGCCCUUUUGUUGGGAAAGAAAAGCAGCAGGUUAAUACCCCGCUGUUCUGACGGUACCAAAAGAAUAAGCACCGGCUAACUUCGUG